UAUAAGAUAGUAUAGGAAGUACUUGGAGUUUUGAUCUCUACAGGAAAAGUUCAAAUCUUUUUCUUAUAG
This 69-nucleotide transfer RNA is filed under the name Lunella aff. cinerea STW-2013. RNAcentral's name for it is "tRNA-Gln". It matches the Rfam family "tRNA". From Rfam's summary of the family: Transfer RNA (tRNA) molecules are approximately 80 nucleotides in length. Their secondary structure includes four short double-helical elements and three loops (D, anti-codon, and T loops). Lineage: Eukaryota; Metazoa; Mollusca; Gastropoda; Trochida; Turbinidae. The record is from RNAcentral.